GCGGAAGUGGCGGAACUGGCAGACGCGCUGGAUUUAGGUUCCAGUGCCGCAAGGCGUGGGGGUUCAAGUCCCUUCUUCCGCACCA
This 85-nucleotide transfer RNA is filed under the name Peptococcaceae bacterium. RNAcentral's name for it is "tRNA-Leu". It matches the Rfam family "tRNA". From Rfam's summary of the family: Transfer RNA (tRNA) molecules are approximately 80 nucleotides in length. RNAcentral also lists the same sequence under 1 other name. Lineage: Bacteria; Bacillati; Bacillota; Clostridia; Eubacteriales; Peptococcaceae. The record is from RNAcentral.